UACGGGGGGAGCAAGCGUUGUUCGGAUUUACUGGGCGUGAAGGGCGCGUAGGCGGCCAGCACAAGUCAGUUGUGAAAUCUCCGAGCUUAACUCGGAAAGGUCAACUGAUACUGUGCGGCUAGAGUGCGGAAGGGGCAACUGGAAUUCUUGGUGUAGCGGUGAAAUGCGUAGAUAUCAAGAGGAACACCUGCGGCGAAGGCGGGUUGCUGGGCCGACACUGACGCUGAGGCGCGAAAGCUAGGGGAGCGAACGGG
Molecule: ribosomal RNA, 254 nt
Filed under: uncultured bacterium
Lineage: Bacteria
Description: partial 16S ribosomal RNA
Rfam family: Bacterial small subunit ribosomal RNA
Source: RNAcentral